This 217-nucleotide long non-coding RNA is filed under the name Amborella trichopoda. RNAcentral's name for it is "long non-coding RNA (ATRI_LNC000653)". The record is from RNAcentral. Lineage: Eukaryota; Viridiplantae; Streptophyta; Magnoliopsida; Amborellales; Amborellaceae.
CUUUUGAUAGGAAAUCAUAGCACGUGGUAAAGGUACUCCAUUCUUUACUGCAUUUUAUCUUUCAAAUCGUAUCCUUUUGCAGGUUGGCAUGAGUACAUUCAUCAUAAAUUUCCAGCCACAUCUAGUUUGGACUUUGGAACAGUUACGACCUCGUUAUAUAACAUUUCAUUGGGCUAGACUUUAUACUUACUGAUAUAUUUAUUGCAACACUACUAAC